Sciurus carolinensis (gray squirrel) is the source of this 362-nucleotide long non-coding RNA. RefSeq lists it as uncharacterized. The transcript has 3 exons. Lineage: Eukaryota; Metazoa; Chordata; Mammalia; Rodentia; Sciuridae. The record is from RefSeq and is a predicted model, not a curated record.
CAGAGGGACAGGACACUAUGCACCUUUUCGAUGAACACUGAAGAACACAUGAGACCUACGGAUUAGCAAAAAUAUCACAUCAGAACUUGAGACAUCUCAGAGGAGUGAAUACUACAUUCAUGUGAUCGACACUCGCACAAGACUGACCAGGGUCCUGUGGUUCGUGUGGGUGAGCACCCCUCCCACAUGAGAGCUCUAUCUCCCUGGUUCCUGAGGGUGUGAGUGAGGGCCCCUCGCCCAGCAGUUUGAGUCCAGUCUGCCUGCCCUGGUUCCUGGGGGUGAGCACCCUUCUUCUCCCAGUGGUCAGUGUCCUCAGGGUCCUGUGGGUGAGCGCCCCUCUCCCAGCAGUCCUCAGUGUCCUC